Molecule: long non-coding RNA, 1100 nt
Organism: Nerophis ophidion (straightnose pipefish)
Lineage: Eukaryota; Metazoa; Chordata; Actinopteri; Syngnathiformes; Syngnathidae
Exons: 4
Source: RefSeq, a predicted model, not a curated record
CACAUUCUUACCUGCCUGAUCCUGUGUCUUCUUCUUUAUGGUACAGGCCAAGAUGACAUUCACCAAGACGGAGAAGGCCAAAGCUGCACUUAAGAUGUAGACCAGCAACGUGUCACCUGCAGACGGAAGCGUUAUAUGCAGCUACCAGGAAGCAGAUGCUGGAUGAGGCUCUGCUGAAAUGUAUUGUCAAUGACUGCCAGCACCACAGCAUCGUGGAGAGUGAAAGGUUCAGGGAACUGGUGCAGGUCCUUGAGACAUCAUGUUUUGCCUACCAGAAAGACCAUCAAAAAAAUGCUGGUGCAAAAAUAUGAGGAAGAACGGGAACGAGUGAAAUUGGAAGUACAGCAAGCUGUGGUAAUAACCUUUGGAAACAUCUGGAUAUGGAAGUGGGAAGGCAGACAAAAAACUCUACUGCAGAUGCCAUUCAAGACGUCCAACGUUACCUGGCAGAGGGAAAUGUAGCUAGGUCCCAGGCAUACUUGCCAACCCUCCCGGAUUUUCCGGGAGACUCUCAAAAUUCAGCGCCUUUCCCGAAAACCUCCCGGAAGAAAUUUUUUCCCAAAAAUCUCCCGAAAUUCAGCGGAGCUGGAGGCCACGCCCCCUAUAGUUCCAUGCGGACCUGAGUGGGGACAACCUGUUUUCACGUCCGCUUUCCCACUAUAUAAACAGCUUGCCUGCCCAAUCACGUUACAACAUCUACGGAUUUUAAUAAAAAAACUGCACACACAAGGAGAUGAAGCAGAAGAACGAGGAAGUUACAUCCAUGGCGACGCCGUCUGUAAUAGAGUGAUUCUAUGUUGUCUGUUGCCAUCUCCUGGUGAAUGUUGGCUAUAGCGUUAUGGGGUUGCUUUUUGAUUGGCCAACGAUUUACGUGGUGUUGUGCACCUGACGGCAAGUGACUCUCGCCAGUACGCAAAUGACAGAACAAAGGUUACUCAAAUAGUGAAAGUUAAGUGUUUUUUUUUUUUAGUAACCAGCAAGCACAGUACAGUUAGUAGAACAACUGUGUUUUUAUUACUGUGUAUUUGAUAGGUGCCGUCUGAAAUUCAACCAUUUUUUAAUUUAUAUAUAUAAUAAAAUAAAUAUAUAUCGCUAGAAUU